Molecule: ribosomal RNA, 466 nt
Filed under: uncultured eukaryote
Lineage: Eukaryota
Description: SSU rRNA
Rfam family: Eukaryotic small subunit ribosomal RNA
Source: RNAcentral
CUGCGAAUGGCUCAUUACAACACGACAUGUAAUUUUCGCAUGUGCUUCAUCACACAUGGAUAACUGUUGGAAAAUCUAGGGCUAAUACAUGCGGCACACCUGACUUCGGGGAAAGGUUGCUAUCAUGAGUCAUAGAAUCGGCGCAGGCUCUGCCUUGCUAUCGAGGUGAGUCAUGAUAAUUUAGCUGAUCGCAUUGCUUCAGCUGGUGAUGAACUGCACAAGUUUCAGACCUAUCACCUUCCGACGCUUGGGUAUUGGCCUACUGUGGCAAUGACGGGUGACGGAGAAUUAGGGUUCGAUUCCCGAGAGGGAGCCUGACACAUGGNUACCACAUCUAAGGAAGGCAGCAAGCGCGCAAAUUACCCAAUCCUGACACGGGGAGGUAGUGACAAGCAAUAACNAUACNGGGCAUCCAUGUCUUGUAAUUGGAAUGAGCUAACUCCUAACAUGUUGGUNAGUAUCAAUU